Molecule: ribosomal RNA, 327 nt
Filed under: uncultured eukaryote
Lineage: Eukaryota
Description: partial 18S ribosomal RNA
Rfam family: Eukaryotic small subunit ribosomal RNA
Source: RNAcentral
CCCUUAGAUGUUCUGGGCCGCACACGCGCUACACUGAAGGAGGCAGCGUGUACUCCUGGAUCGAAAGAUUUGGGUAACCCGCGAAUCUCCUUCGUGCUAGGGAUUGAGGUUUGCAAUUAUCCUUCAUGAACGAGGAAUUCCCAGUAAGUGCAAGUCAUAAGCUUGCGCUGACUACGUCCCUGCCCUUUGUACACACCGCCCGUCGCUACUACCGAUUGAAUGAUUUAGUGAGGACUUCGGACUGGGACCGAUGCGGCUUUCGGGCUGCGUCGGUACUCUGGAAAGAUGUCCAAACUGUAUCAUUUAGAGGAAGUAAAAGUCGUANCA